This is a long non-coding RNA of Athalia rosae (coleseed sawfly), 3258 nucleotides long. RefSeq lists it as uncharacterized. The transcript has 4 exons. The record is from RefSeq and is a predicted model, not a curated record. NCBI's taxonomy places the organism in Eukaryota, Metazoa, Arthropoda, Insecta, Hymenoptera, Athaliidae.
GCAUUGGCUAAUAGACUCACUGCCUGCUCUAUGAGCUCUGGUUGAGGGUAUAUGACAGGAGGUGGUGGACAUCGUCCAACUUUUGCAAUACGCUUUACUGGAACUUUUUGAGUUAAUAUCGUAGCUGGCAUGUCCAGUAAUGUGAAUUGUUUACCAGGUCUACCAUAAGUUGCCAAUCUAACAGCCUUCUCAACAUGAAGAGGUAUAAGUGCAGCCGAAGGUGGCCUGGCAGCAUAUUUGCAGUAAGGGCGGCUACUUUCAACUUGUGGCCAUUCUUGGAACCCCCCGAUUCCUUCAUGAUCUUGUGGGCAGGAUCCUCCGAUGACCAAAACUGGCCUGUGAAAGAAAGAUUUUAUUUUGGGUUGAAAUAUGCGAGAACCGCGUCGGGUCCGGGUGUGGGGUGGGUAAUGAGAAACAGGCUAGUCUUAGGUUGAUUCGUAAGCCUCAUUGUUGGCACGUUACACGGAAAAGUAUAAGUACCCAGGGUGGUGAAGAAGCGACGCACCGCGGGGGGCGACAUGGCCUGUUGCCUCUUUUCCGUUUACAGCGGUCAUUUGGCAAAUUCCGGUGAUUGAACGGACAGCGCAGGUGUACAACGAUCGAAAACCGAACAGGGUCAGUCAAGACUUAACGCUAUGGAACUACCAGGAAACUAAUCUAAAUCCGAAACCAAUCAACUAAAUCAUCGCAAUAACGGUGCCGUUCUAGAAUAAAUCGCCACGCUCCGUUUGUCCGUAAUGCAAAUGCAGAUAUAAUGCGAAAUGCAUAAAAAUAUAUAAGUAGAUGGAAUUCUCAUCGGGACAUGGAUUGAACGUUGCAUUUGGGCGUAUUACAAUUUACAGAUUAUUGGGUGGGCUUUCGAUCGACCGCUGCUAUGCGUGUCGAUUUUAGGUUUUUAUGCCUGUAUAGGUAUAUGUAUAUCCCUCGCGUGAUAUGGGAGCAAUUUUUACGUAAUUUGCUUAUAUAAGAUGAACAGCAUAGCAGUAAUCUGAUGAUCCUCGAGGCUCGCUCAUAGCUGAUCAUUGGAGUAUGGUGUUCGCCAGAUUGGUCACAGUCAUGGAACACGUAAAUUUUGUCCGUGAUAAUGCGAUUGCUAUGUGCACGUAAUACGAAGCAAGGACAGUUCGAGAGCGGAAAAAAUACAAGUUUUACGAGUACCGCGCCUAUCACCGGCAUCGCGUAAUGCAGCAUGUGCGCGUACGUGAAGAAAUUUGUUUCUGAAAAAAUUCUGUUCCAACUCAUAGUUGAUGUUCAAAUAAGAAACUAAAUGAACAAAACGCUUUGUUAUUCGAAUCAGAAUUUUCUUCGCCGAUUUUGCGCUUUUUCACGUUGUACAGCCUUAAACGAAUAUAAUCACGAAACGUGCAUGGCUCAUAAGAAUUUAUGAUUAUACACGUAGUAUGGCCAUGAUAAAAUAGAUGAAUUUUUUUUACUAUCGCGCUCGGAUUUUUCCAUUGCAGCUGGAGUAGUUGAAUAUGUAGUAGAGAAUUAAACACGUGGCACCACUAAACAAAAUUCCGAGUAAUGGAGCGUUGCAGAGUCGGUAGAUAGACCCUCCCUAAAACUCUCAAGGGUGCAGGGUCGAAGGUAUCGUACUUUUCCAAGACCCUACAUAAGUAAAACUUCGGGAAACUAAAAUGUAAGCGGCGUUGUUGAAACAGCAAUUGAAAAUCGGUAAUCCCGUAGGUGGGUGAAAACCCCGGCUAAAAUAAAACGGAUACGUGUUUUAGGAACUAUUUCGUGACGAGUAUUGAUCAGAUUAAUUUAAGCCCCUUCACAUUGUUGGGUAAAAGUGAAAAAAUUUCACUAUUUCAUUUACUUUUUAUUUAUAAAAAAUUAACUCGGUAAAAUUAAUAUCAAAUUUUUCACGUAGCUAUGAGAAGUCUGGCUUUCGACGCGAAGCUAACACAUGAGCAACUUCAUACCGAUUGCUUAUCGUCGGUGAUUACAAGGAUAAUUACCAAACUAAUAACGUCGCACGAUAAUCUGCACAACCGAGCAUUCGAUGUUGCAAAUUACCAUUGCAGGUACUCGUAAUUGAAUAAUAGCCAGCAGGUUCAUUUAACUUCCUCUAUGCACGACGGAACUAAAGAUAUAAAAUAUUAUCCCAUUUUUCGUGACAAGCGAUUCUCGCAUAUAUCGUCAAUAUAUAAAAUUCUACACGAAUCCGAGCUUGUUAUGCGAAUCGAUUUGAAAUUAGAAGUCCGUUAGAAUUUUUUCAUUCGAAACGAAAUAUUCGCAGAGUUUUAAUUCCCGUUUUGAGAGUUCGUUUAAAUUAGCUGGAAAGCAUUGGAUAAACGUCGACGACACCUGACUAUUUGAACGCCUAGCAUAUUAUCGUUGCUGCGGAAAGUUGCGCGCUUCAAUGCGCGGUGUUACUUUGCGCACAUUUAUAGCUCAGUCAUUUCGAACGCAGCUGCGACUAUGAAUUUGAACACUACUUGGAAAGAACUCGUGAAGAAUGGUUUAAUGAUUCCGUUCUCUGGGUACGCAAAAACCUCAACAUGUGAUGAUAAACGAAACGUUCUCCUGAAUGAAAUUACAGAACAUGCUACAAAGUUUGAUAAUUACUUAUACCAUCUUCGUAGACAUAACCUCAAAAGAUGAUCGUAAGUGAUGAAAAAAAAAACCAUCAAAUAAAACAAUGAUUAAAUAUAUAAAAAUUACCUGCUCCUUAAGAGCUUCUGCGAGUAUUUGAUUACCCUCCAUCUCGUCCAUCGCAAUCGUAAUUGGGGAAGUUGUCGAGGUGUUUGCACUUUAUAACGAAACGAACUUACUUCUUUAUGCGUAGACGUCACACAAAAUGAGCAUUGGAAGCAAAGUCCAUAAAAUGCUUUCUUUUUAUCAAUUGCGAUUAACAUUGUCUUCUGCUAAGCGGGCGCUGUUCAUAGGUGAUUGCUAUCAUUUCAACGAUACCCAAUAUACAUUGGACAGGUUUGAUCACACCUGCGAAAUUGGACCUACUGUACUAUAAUUAUUAGGCACAAAAAAUUGUAGUCUCUAUUUAAAAUCUAAUUGGAAUUUAUCUGUUUUAUCUUCAGUACCUGAAAAGGCAAGUUGAAUAGCUACUGUUACGCCUAUGAUGGUUAUCGAUUUAUUGAAAGCACGUACUUGCAUUGUAAAAUUUGAACUUUUGCCUCCUUAUUUGAUGAUUAUAUGUCCGACCGUUUGUCGGAAUCGUAGCAUUAUUGUUUUUUCUUAUGUAUCCGUACUCGAGCACAGCGGUUUGUAAGAAAAAUAAAAAUAAUUGAAAAUUGA